AGAAUCAACGCUGGCGGCGUGCCUAACACAUGCAAGUCGCACGAGAAAGGGGCUUCGGCCCUGAGUAAAGUGGCGCACGGGUGAGUAACACGUGACUAACCUACCCUCGAGUGGGGAAUAACAUCGGGAAACCGAUGGCUAAUACCGCAUAACAUCGCAAGAUCAAAGCCGAAAGGCGCUUGAGGAGGGGUCGGCGGCUGAUUAGCUAGUUGGUAGGUAAUGGCCUACCAAGGCUUAGAUCGGUA
Molecule: ribosomal RNA, 245 nt
Filed under: uncultured bacterium
Lineage: Bacteria
Description: partial small subunit ribosomal RNA
Rfam family: Bacterial small subunit ribosomal RNA
Source: RNAcentral